Molecule: long non-coding RNA, 438 nt
Organism: Patella vulgata (common limpet)
Lineage: Eukaryota; Metazoa; Mollusca; Gastropoda; Patellidae
Exons: 2
Source: RefSeq, a predicted model, not a curated record
UAUAGGUAAGAGAAAAUAUUUUAAUCAGUGUCUCUUAACAGUCAGUUCAGACCUUUUGACAAAAUGAGGAGUUUGGUUAUUGUAUGUGUUAUCUCUAUGGUUGUGGUAUCCUCAGCAUAUCCAUAUGGAAUGCCAGGAAUGGGUGGAGGAUUUAAUCCCAACAAUGUCAACAGACUACAAAACUAUGGCACUCCAGGACUUGGACCCAAAAAUUUUGGUGGGUCUGGUUGGUCUCAACCUUCUCCAUUAGGUAUUAGUCCACAGAGAGGCUAUGGAUCUUUAAACAGCUUUAAUUCACCAAUGUCAGGAUUUGGUGGUUCCAGGAUGCCAUCAAGAUUUGGUAGUGCAAAUGGCCUUGCAGCCCUUCUUCCAUUCCUGAGCAUGAACAGUUUUGGCUACGAAAAUGGUGUUUAUGAUGCCUAAUAAAAAUCAAAGUUA